RNAcentral lists this ribosomal RNA (253 nucleotides) under uncultured bacterium. RNAcentral describes it as "partial 16S ribosomal RNA". It matches the Rfam family "Bacterial small subunit ribosomal RNA", at positions 524 to 776 of the family's 1533-position model. The record is from RNAcentral.
UACGUAGGGGGCAAGCGUUGUCCGGAAUUAUUGGGCGUAAAGAGCUUGUAGGCGGUCUGUCGCGUCUGCUGUGAAAAUCCGGGGCUCAACCCCGGACUUGCUGUGGGUACGGGCAGACUAGAGUGUGGUAGGGGAGACUGGAAUUCCUGGUGUAGCGGUGAAAUGCGCAGAUAUCAGGAGGAACACCGGUGGCGAAGGCGGGUCUCUGGGCAAUAACUGACGCUGAGGAGCGAAAGCGUGGGGAGCAAACAGG